Molecule: unclassified non-coding RNA, 251 nt
Filed under: Hevea brasiliensis (rubber tree)
Lineage: Eukaryota; Viridiplantae; Streptophyta; Magnoliopsida; Malpighiales; Euphorbiaceae
Source: RNAcentral
GGCAAUAUAUCGCUUGAAACACUUCUGGAUCUUUAAAGCUGCUGCUUCGCGUCGCAACUGCUCAAAUAGUUUUCGAGCCAAAACACCUCGAGUAAAUGAUUGCACAUGUAUAGCAGCUUUACGUAAUGCAACAAACUCCUUGCGUGCAAUAAAUGUUCUAAUUUGCAUUUGAAUAGUUCUGGCAGCAUUGCUAAGCACCUCUGUUCUCUUUGCGUCCAGAGAAGCCAUCUGCCCAGCCCUCAGGAAGAUUU